Physella acuta is the source of this 506-nucleotide long non-coding RNA. RefSeq lists it as uncharacterized. The record is from RefSeq and is a predicted model, not a curated record. NCBI's taxonomy places the organism in Eukaryota, Metazoa, Mollusca, Gastropoda, Physidae.
GCUCACCAAGCCUGUCUUAAAACCAAUUUGUUUAUUUUAAUAUCGAACUAGCGCACUUAGUGUAAGCUGAACUAUUGUGCUUCCCGUGUACAGCUUAAAGUGAAUUGCCUACCAAAGAAAGAAGAUGAAAUCUACUCUGUUCCUUUCUGUUUCUCUGAUAUCAAUUUGGAUGGUCGCUGUUAGUAAACAGUCUGGGUCUUUUUUGCUCAAGACAUUUUGUCCUGUGUGCAGGCGUAUGCCAUCGACCCUGUGUCUCAGCGACUGCCAGUCUGACAGGCACUGUGACAGGUUUAGCAUGUGCUGUGCAAACGAAUGCGGCCGGAAGGAGUGUAUGGUCGUCAGGGCAAAUUGCAGUGAGGACGGUAAAACGAUCCCCCACCAUGGACCGAUGAAGUACAAAGCCAGGAACAAGAACGACUGUGGCGAUUGUUGGUGUCAAAAUGGACAGAGAGAUUGUCGCAGUUUCCCUUGUAAAUAAUUAGUGUCCGGCUACCCAUGUAAACACU